CACUUCGGUGUGAGUACAGCGGCGGACGGGUGAGUAACGCGUAGGAAUCUACCCAGUAGUGGGGGACAACAUGGUGAAAACCAUGCUAAUACCGCAUACGCCCUAUGGGGGAAAGCGGGGGACCUUCGGGCCUCGCGCUAUUGGAUGAGCCUGCGUCGGAUUAGCUUGUUGGUGAGGUAAAGGCUCACCAAGGCGACGAUCCGUAGCUGGUCUGAGAGGAUGAUCAGCCACACUGGAACUGAGACACGGUCCAGACUCCUACGGGAGGCAGCAGUGGGGAAUAUUGCGCAAUGGGCGAAAGCCUGACGCAGCCAUGCCGCGUGUGUGAAGAAGGCCUUAGGGUUGUAAAGCACUUUCAAUUGGGAAGAAAAGUUGAUGGUUAAUAGCCAUCAGCCCUGACAUUACCUUUAGAAGAAGCACCGGCUAACUCCGUGCCAGCAGCCGCGGUAAUACGGAGGGUGCGAGCGUUAAUCGGAAUUACUGGGCGUAAAGCGCGCGUAGGCGGUUAGUUAAGUCGGAUGUGAAAGCCCUGGGCUCAACCUGGGAACUGCAUUCGAUACUGGCCCACUAGAGUGCGAGAGAGGGAGGUAGAAUUCCACGUGUAGCGUUGAAAUGCGUAGAUAUGUGGAGGAAUACCGGUGGCGAAGGCGGCCUCCUGGCUCGACACUGACGCUG
This 675-nucleotide ribosomal RNA is filed under the name Pseudohalioglobus lutimaris. RNAcentral describes it as "bacterial SSU rRNA". It matches the Rfam family "Bacterial small subunit ribosomal RNA", at positions 76 to 748 of the family's 1533-position model. The record is from RNAcentral. Lineage: Bacteria; Pseudomonadati; Pseudomonadota; Gammaproteobacteria; Cellvibrionales; Halieaceae.